Molecule: long non-coding RNA, 14017 nt
Filed under: Triticum aestivum (bread wheat)
Lineage: Eukaryota; Viridiplantae; Streptophyta; Magnoliopsida; Poales; Poaceae
Description: long non-coding RNA (TAES_LNC027241)
Source: RNAcentral
CCGCCGCGGCGACCACCCUGCUUCCUGUCGCCAUGGCCGUCGGCCUCUAUUUUCCCGCUGUGAGCAACUUCCUCCGUAACCGAAGCUUCGAUCUUUUCCUAGAUCCGUUCUGGCAUGUAGAGGUUAUUUAGAGUUGCCACUAUGUUCCACCACAAGCACAUCAGCUAGCCCAGUGGCUAGCGCAGCCUCUAUCCAUUCGAGGGGUCUGGGUUCGAGUCCCAGCCGCCCCCAUUUUUGCUUAGUUUUCUUGUUAUUUUGCACUCCCACAUCUGCUUCGGGCCAGAUCUGCUGCUGGGCUUGCACAGUGCGUUGCAUUCGGCCCGUUGCUAUUUUUGGCGUGCUGCGAAUUUCAUAUUAUCCAAAAACCGCAUGUUUACAGAUUAGCCCCUCUAGAUCAUGCAUAUCAUAACUCAUAAACUGUGCAUCAUAUGUAUAAACAUUAUUUAUGAAAAAUGCUUAGAAUUUCAUCUAGUUUCACAUUAGGCCACUCUCAUCCAUGUGUAAAAUGUUUAACUUGCUGUUUGCAUUAAUUUGCAUAAAUGCCAUGCUAAAAUGAUUUAUUUCAUAACUAAAUAACCGUAGCUCGGAUUUAAAUAAUUUAUAUAUGUAAAUGGGGUAGAAAAAUGCAUAGAUUAACAUGGUAGCAUCACUUUGCAUGUUUAACAAGUCUAAAAUUAUGUAUAGGGCAGAACAGUACCAAAUUCAUAUUAUGCAUAUGAGGAGUUUUCCGGAAUUGUUGUUUGUUGUUUCCGGCCUCAUUUAAACUUGCCUAAAUAGGUGGUUUGCUCAUACUUCACCUCUUGCCAUGUUUAAUAACAUUUAAUGUUGUUGGGUACAUAACCGAGAGAGAACUAAAUAAUUGAUGUGGUGUUUCGUUAAUAUGCAACUCGUUGCAUAUUGAGCUCCAUUUAACUUGUAGUUUUGUUUGUGCAUAUUGCCAUGCCAUGCUAUUUAAACCGGGCAUGCAUCAUACUUGUUUGUGCAUCAUGCCAUGUUUAUGUGAUGGCUGUUUACUAUGUUGUUUGUUUCUUUCCGGGUUGCUUCUCUCGUUAGCUUCGGGUUCGUUCCAGAGUCGUGAGGAUUCGUUCGACUACGUCUGUUUGUCUUCUUCAUGAACUCGUUCUUCUUCCUAUCGGGGUCUCAGGCAAGAUGACUAUUACCCUCGAUAUCACUUCUAUCUUUGCUUGCUAGUUGCUCCGUUCUAUCGCUAUGCUGCACUACCUAUCACUUGUUUACCAUGCCUCCCGUAUUGCCAUAUCAGCCUCUAACCUUUUUCACCCCUCCUAGCAAACCGUUGCUUGGCUAUGUUACCGCUUUGCUCAGCCCCUCUUAUAGCAUUGUUAGUUGCAGGUGAAGUUGAAGAUUGCUCCAUGAUGGACAGGAUUAUUUUGGGAUAUCACAAUAUCUCUUAUUUAAUUAAUGCAUCUAUAUACUUGGUAAAGGGUGGAAGACUCGGCCUUAUGCCUGGUGUUUUGUUCCACUCUUGCCGCCCUAGUUUCUGUCAUACCGGUGUUAUGUUCCCGGAUUUUGCGUUCCUUACGCGGUUGGGUGAUUUAUGGGACCCCCUUGACAGUUCGCUUUGAAUAAAACUCCUCCAGCAAGGCCCAACCUUGGUUUUACCAUUUGCCACCUAAGCCUUUUUCCCUUGGGCUCUGCAGACUCAAGGGUCAUCUUUAUUUUAACCCCCCCCCCCCGGGCUAGUGCUCCUUCGAGUGUUGGUCCAAAAUGAGCAGCCUGCGGGGCCACCUCGGGGCAACUUGAGGGCUGGUUUUACUCGUAGCUUGACUUAUCCGGUGUGCCCUGAGAACGAGGUACGUGCGACUCCUAUCGGGAUUUGUCGGUGCAUCGGGCGGCUUUGCUAGUCUUGUUUUACCAUUGUCGAAAUGUCUUGCGAACCGGGAUUCCGAGGCUGAUCGGGUCUUCCCGGGAGAAGGUAUAUCCUUCGUUGACCGUGAGAGCUUGUGAUGGGCUAAGUUAGGACACCCCUGCAGGGUAUAUUAUCUUUCGAAAGCCGUGCCCGCGGUUAUGGGCAGAUGGGAAUUUGUUAAUGUCCGGUUGUAGAUAACUUGACACUUGACCUCAUUAAAACGCAUCAACCGCGUGUGUAGCCGUGAUGGUCUCUUCUCGCGGAGUCCGGGAAGUGAACACGGUUUUGGGUUAUGUUUGACGUAAGUAGGAGUUCAGGAUCACUUCUUGAUCAUUGCUAGCUUCACGACCGUUCCAUUUGCUCUCUUCUCGCUCUUAUUUGUGUAUGUCAGCCAUCAUAUAUGCUUAGUCGCUGCUGCAACCUCACCACUUUACCCCCUUCCUUUCCCACAAGCUUAAAUAGUCUUGAUCUCGUGGGUUUUGAGAUUGCUGAGUCCUCGUGACUCACCAGAUACUAUCACAACAGUUGCAGGUGCCGAUGAUACCAGUGUAGGUGAUGCAACCGAGCUCAGAUGGGAGCUCAACGAAGACCUUGGUCGUUGCUAUGUAUCGUUUAAUGUUGAUAAGUAGUGGAGCCCAGUUGGGACAAUCGGGGAUCUAGCAGUUGGGUUAUCUUCUUUUCUUUUGGCUUCGUCCAUAUUCGGACUAUGUGUGUACUCUGAAUGAUGUAUGAUUUAUUUAUGUUCAUUGUAUGAAGUGGCGAUUGUAAGCCAACUCUUUAUCCCAUUCUUGUUCAUUACAUGGGAUUGUGUGAAGAUGACCCUUCUUGCGACAAAACCACAAUGUGGUUAUGCCUCUAAGUCGUGCUUCGACACGUGGGAGAUAUAGCCGCAUCGUGGGUGUUACAAGUUGGUAAUCAGAGCCAUCCCCGACUUAGGAGCCCCCUGCUUGAUUGUUUGCUGGUGUUUUGAGUCUAGAACAAAAAUGUUUUGAGUCUUAGGAUUAUAUAUACCGGAGAGUAGGAUUCUUUUUACUCCUCAGUCCCUUCGUCGCUCUGGUGAGGUUUCCUGAUGUAGAUGUUUUGACUUUCCUCUCCUCAAAUUUCACUAAAAAAAUUAGGAUCACGCAGGUAUCUUGGAAUCGUUCCGAUGGUUUUGUGACGAGAACAUUGUUCUUGGUGCCUCCUGACAUUUAGGGGUUGUGGCAGUGUCCCGGGGAGUUGAGCUCUGAGGUGUUGUCGUCACAAUUUUAUCGUUGCAGUUCUGGAAUACCUGAGUUUUGCCGACAUCAAAAAUCUCUUUUAUGCUGUUGUUGGUGAGAUAACCUCGAUAACCGAGUACUGGGGCGAGCUCGAGAGUAUUGCCAUAACUCGUAUAACGGAUGCUUUUCAAAGGUUGAGGUACACGAUUUCUGAAGGUUUCUUGGUUAUGUGUUGACAGAUGGAUACAGCUUGGAUGUAGGGAUUGUUAGUUUUGGGUGAGAUAUAUAUUGCUUCCCCUGUAUCCCCAACACCAGAUUGCAUAACCAGAAAGUUUCGGGAGUUUUAUAGGCGGGAAUUCAAGUAGCUCCUAGAAUAUCUUUUCGACAGAUGCAUGAUAUGAGAUUGGGGUUCGACGUCUAGUGGUCCACCUUUCCACGGUCGUUUUUACAGUGGUCUCGUUGUGUCUUAAAGAACCCUUGGCUAUGCUGGUUCGGGGACACUUCGUAUGUCAUGUGCACUGCCUUGUACAUGAUGGUGCUGUACACUUGAGCCCGUGUGGGCCCCACCACGAAAACUUGGAACGAAAUCUCUAUCAUAUGUUUGUUCCGGCUUAUUCUGCAAGCCAAAUCCUUUGUGUUGUUUUAUAUGUGGUAUUCGAGUUGCUUCAAAGUCAAAUAUUGAAUCCAUACCUUUCCUAAACGGUGUUCUCAUAUUGCUAUGUGAAUACUAAUCCUUCUUGAUCAUCGAGCUCGUCAUGUCAAUUCUUUCCGACCGGUGUGCUUCUCUUCAAGUGGAUCCGAACAUUUCAACAUUCGCAAGAUCAAUUCUAAGUUUUCUCAACGGUAUCCAUUCCAUCUGCCCCAAGUUGCCUUUGUUUUCCCGCCCUCCCACCCUUAACUUCAAGGACUCAGAUUUCUUAAUCGGGUACCCAUUUUAUUGAUGGGAAGUCUCUCCAUUCUUUUCCAUCAAUGUUCUUAUCCGGUGAUUCUCAAGAAGAUACUAAUGGAGUUUCAAGUUCAUCAUUUUUCAUUCUUUUCUUCUUCGGUGGAUUUACCUCAAUCUUUCGGUGUUGAUCAUAUCCUUAUCCUCGUUCAAAUGCUAUCCCAUGCCGGUGCCUCUCAUAAUUGUUCACCUCUCUCUAUUCUUAUUCGGAGUGCUCAAGAUAUCUCGGAAGAUUCGUGUUUCCAUUCUCAAUCAGUUCAAGUUAUUUUGAGGUUGUUAUCUCAUUCAAGCCACUUAAUUCAACCGGUGCAAUCUCUAUUUCAAGCAAUCGUUCAACGGUGUUUAUCUUGAGUGGGCCCUAACCCACAGGUCUUUUCCCAGGAUUUUACCUGACUCUUCUAAUUUAUCCGGAGCGAUUCUCAAAUUCUUUCAAAGUUUGACAUAAGAAUGAUUUCUCAACAGUCAAAUGUAUUCUCCAAGUUUGCUUUGAUAUUAUUUUCAUUGCUGGUUCAACCUUUCUGCUCUUCAUUCCGGAGUAUCUCAACAAUUCAUGGUGGUUCUCAUCUUCAUUCUCAACAUUUGAACACCGAAGAAGGAUUUCUCUUAAAUCUUAUCCAUUCUCUUGAAGAUUCAUGGUUCUAGCUUUCUACCAUCAUCUCAUAAUUGUUUUCGAUUGUGAGAAUUCUUUCCAACCAUCCGGAGCAUUUCAUGAGUUGUUUCCAUUUCUUUCCUCCGAAGGCCAUCGUGUCAUAAUUCUUCAUUCUCAGCAUGUAGCUAUCGUUCUCCAAAUCUUACCGGUGCAUCGUUCAAAUAUCCUCUAAUCAGUUCACGGCCUCUUCGUUCUCAUGUAUCCAAAUCCCCUCAAGUAUCUUCAUUCGUUUUCCCAACUCUUCUUGGUGAAUUGUGCCUUCGCUACUUUCAUUUUCAAUUCUUACGGUGGUUCGUUCAAGAUUUCUCUUCCUUCGUUAUAAUAUCAAUUCAUUCGUUGUUUCCAAAUCCUACCGGUGGUUCCAUCAAUAGCUUCUCAAACUUGCGCUAUAUCUCUCUUAAUUCUUUCUACGAGAAUAAGUAGUAUGCCAAAUCCAUUGCUGGUCAUCAAUUUAAUUUGAUGAAUGAUAAGCAUACAAUAAAUCUUAUUCUUAUUUCCUCUAGGUGAUUCAAUUCUUUUCUUCCGAAGAUUGUUCAUGAUGAAGUAAUUCUCGGUUCUAGUGUUCAUCUUUUCUUUCCGGAGUUCCAAGUUCUCUCGGUUAUCUCAUCGCGAAGCUCCUUCGAAAUCAUCGCAAGGCUUCACCUUGUUCUUUCAACUUCUCUUCCUUUCUAUCAUCCUUUUCUUACCGGAGUUCUUCAUGGAGGCCUACAUGGUGGUUCGUCAAGGAUUCUUUUCAUUCUUCAAUUGUUCUUCAAGUUUUCUCUCGAAGCUAUGACCCGCCAAGCUAUACUCAAAGUUAAACAUGGUGCUCAACACAUGUUUUGUUUUGAGGCAUUCAAGCAUUCUUCAUCUUGCAUUCCAAAGUGCAAUUAUCCUACCUUAUCUUUUGAGAUGGUGUUAUAUCAUUCUUGACAAUUUCCAUUCUUGUUUCGCGAUUCACAUGUUGUCAAGAACGAGGUAUUUUAAAUCCAUUAUUCUCUUCGUUGGAGUUAUCUUGUGUCAUAUUUCUCCUAAAGCCUUCCCUAAGGAAUGUUGCUAUUUGUGGUGCUUAUCAAUGAUCCGAGUUUUCACCUAUCCUCUCGGCGAAAGCAGUUUUCAUCUCUUUUUUGAUCUCAAGCAAGCAAUUGUUUUUCGUUAGUGGCACGAUUUCACCUCAAGUGUUGAAAUGUUUCAAUAAGUCCACUACAAGCUUGUGAUUUUCGUUGUUGAUUUUCCAACAACUCUGUUCAAUUCUUCUUUGCAAGGAUGCUUUCCAUGUUCUUUUGUGGCAGAAGUUGACAUUUCCUUCUCCAUUUUGUUAUUCCAAUGAUCUAUCUUCUAUUCUUUCUUCCAGAGGCAUUGUGAUGUUGCUCUCUUCACUCAUCAUCUCGAAUUGUGAGGACCGUGUUCUUUUUCUUGCAUUAUCCAUUUAACCGGAGUGUCGUGUUUUCAUUCAAGCUCUCUCAUCUUAUCAAGUUUUGCCUCCCUUCUCAACCGGAGUGUUGUCUGAAAUCUUUCUUACCCCCUGUGCCAUUUUUCAAUAGUUCCGGAGGCAGUGUGUUGUUGAUUUCAUCAAGUAUCAUCCCAUCUUCUCAAGUUCAUAAUCAAUUCCUUCCAUUUACAGUCGGAGUGCUGCCAAAAUUAUAUCAUUCUUAUUCAUUCUUAUCUCGUUUCAACCAGAGUGGUUCCAAUUCCUUCUUGUCCAUUGUACUCGUCAUUCAUAGCUUUGCAACCCCCAAGGUUCACAUGGUGUUCCUUGUUUCUAUUUUCUACUGGAAUGCUCUCAAUUUCGUUCAACUCUAUUGUGUUAUUCUUUCAAGUUUUCAACCUCUCGAGGUUCAUUGGUUUCACUCGUUUGUCAAAGAAGCAACUUAGUUUUACCUCCUCUCUUCCUCUUCCGUUUUCUCUCCGGUGCCAUCCCAGAUCUCGGGACGAGAUCCUCUCGUAGUGGUGGAGUGUUGUGACGCCCCAAGACCGACGCUUCAGACGCCUUCCAUGUUUUGCGAGUUUCGUUGUGCUAUUUAUUUGUUUGUUGCAUUCAUCAUCGCAUAAUACGCAUUGCAUCCGCAUGUUUUCUUAAACUCGUGGUCCGUUCGUAGUUGUCGCGUCCCCUCCCACUUGCCUUCGUUGACUGAUCCAAGUCCAACCUUGUUCUUCGUUUUCCCUCUUGCCUAAACCGGAGUCUCUUUGCAUAGUGCAUCGCCCCUUGCCCGUGUCUGAAACUUCCCCGAACCCGAACCGGACUAUUAUUACCGUUGGGUCCGGAUCAUCCCCAAACAUCUAUAAAACAUCUCCGUUUUAUUAUUCGGGCUACCUACCCUAUUUAUUUAUGACCGUCCGAUUACGAUCGCAGGGACCUAGAUUACCCCUACCCUAAUCCCCUACCUAUAUAAACAGUGUAACCCUAGACCUAGCCGUCCCAUCCAUCAAAUCCUCCCUGCCGCCGCCGGCCACUGCCUCCUCCAUCCUCGGGAUCUUGCCCGAUCCAUUCGAGCCACCCGACCAACCUCCUUCUUCAUCGGGAUCCCUCCUGAUCCAGCCGCCAACCACCUUCUCCUAGUUUUCCCCACCGAUCCAAUAGCACCUCCCCUCCCCGCCGUCUCUGCCUAACCUCGACCUCGCCGACCAGAGCACCAGGUCAUGCUGCACUUCCCCGUCGCCUCCAUCGCCUUCCUUUCCCUCUCCCUGUUCCCUCUCUCAGCUCUCUCCUUCUCUUAUUCACAGGAACAGGGGACGCCAUGGAUGACACGCGCCCGAGUUCCUUGAGCCCCGCCCGGAGCAGCCAAGCCAACGGAGUUCCAUUCCCUCCACGUCCACUCCAUCCCCUGCCUCGCAUGCCUCCUCUCCGCACCCCCCCUCGCCAAGGUCUGCCGUCCUUAGCGUGGAGACUGACGCCGCUGCAACCACCAUGGUGCUCGGCCUCGUGCAGCUUCUCCAGGCCACUUCCCCGUGCCCAGAUGCUCCACCGCCGCCUUGCUCCGUCCUCUCCGUCCCCGCCACAGAUGAGCAGCGCGCAGCCCCUUUUCCUUCUCCUGUCGUCCUUGUUCUCUCAACUCCCUCUCUCUGCUUUUCUACAGGAAGGUCGCUCCUGCAGCCAUGGACGCCACAAGCAGAGGCUUGCCUUGCCGCCCUUGCAAUGAUGGCCUCACCUUCGCUCCUCCGACGACCGGCCUCGUCGUCGCCGGCAACCCCAGGUCGCCCCGUCGCGCCCUUGCCAUCUCUCUACGUCUCUUUCUCUCCUUCCUUCCCCUGUUUCCCUCUGAACUCUGUCUUUUCUUCAGUUAACAGCAGCCUCCUUCAAGUUCGCCACCUCGAGCCCCUGCCUCGACUCCUCGUGCAUGGAUCCGUUCGCCCUCGCUCCGUUCCCGCGGGAUCCGGCCGGAAGGAGCCCCGCCGCGGCGACCCCCCUGCUUCCUGUCGCCAUGGCCGCCGGCCUCUAUUUUCCCGCUGUGAGCAACUUCCUCCGUAACCGAAGCUUCGAUCUUUUCCUAGAUCCGUUCUGGCAUGUAGAGGUUAUUUAGAGUUGCCACUAUGUUCCACCACAAGCACAUCAGCUAGCCCAGUGGCUAGUGCAGCCUCUAUCCAUUCGAGGGGUCUGGGUUCGAGUCCCAGCCGCCCCCAUUUUUGCUUAGUUUUCCUGUUAUUUUGCACUCCCACAUCUGCUUCGGGCCAGAUCUGCUGCUGGGCUUGCACAGUGCGUUGCAUUCGGCCCGUUGCUAUUUUUGGCGUGCUGCGAAUUUCAUAUUAUCCAGAAACUGCAUGUUUACAGAUUAGCCCCUCUAGAUCAUGCAUAUCAUAACUCAUAAACCGUGCAUCAUACGUAUAAACAUUAUUUAUGAAAAAUGCUUAGAAUUUCAUCUAGUUUCACAUUAGGCCACUCUCAUCCAUGUGUAAAAUAUUUAACUUGCUGUUUGCAUUAAUUUGCAUAAAUGCCAUGUUACAAUGAUUUAUUUCAUAACUAAAUAACCGUAGCUCGGAUUUAAAUAAAUUAUAUAUGUAAAUGGGGUAGAAAAAUGCAUACAUUAACAUGGUAGCAUCACUUUGAAUGUUUAACAACUCUAAAAUUAUGUAUGGGGUAGAACAAUACCAAAUUCAUAUUAUGCAUAUGAGGAGUUUUCCGGAAUUUUUGUUUGUUGUUUCCGGCCUCAUUUAAACUUGCCUAAAUAGGUGGUUUGCUCAUACUUCACCUCUUGCCAUGUUUAAUAACAUUUAAUGUUGUUGGGUACAUAACCGAGAGAGAACUAAAUAAUUGAUGUGGUGUUUCGUUAAUAUGCAACUCGUUGCGUAUUGAGCUCCAUUUAACUUGUAGUUUUGUUUGUGCAUAUUGCCAUGCCAUGCUAUUUAAACCGGGCAUGCAUCAUACUUGUUUGUGCAUCAUGCCAUGUUUAUGUGAUGGUUGUUUACUAUGUUGUUUGUUUCUUUCCGGGUUGCUUCUCUCGUUAGCUUCGGGUUCGUUCCGGAGUUGUGAGGAUUCGUUCGACUACGUCCGUUUGUCUUCUUCAUGAACUCGUUCUUCUUCCUAUCGGGAUCUCAGGCAAGAUAACUAUUACCCUCGAUAUCACUUCUAUCUUUGUUUGCUAGUUGCUCUAUUCUAUCGCUAUGCUGUGCUACCUAUCACUUGUUUACCAUGCCUCCCAUAUUGCCAUGUCAGCCUCUAACCUUUUUCACCCCUCCUAGCAAACCGUUGCUUGGCUAUGUUACCACUUUGCUCGGCCCCUCUUAUAGCAUUGUUAGUUGCAGGUGAAGUUGAAGAUUGCUCCAUGAUGGACAGGAUUAUUUUGGGAUAUCACAAUAUCUCUUAUUUAAUUAAUGCAUCUAUAUACUUGGUAAAGGGUGGAAGACUCGGCCUUAUGCCUGGUGUUUUGUUCCACUCUUGCCACCCUAAUUUCCGUCAUACCGGUGUUAUGUUCCCGGAUUUUGCGUUCCUUACGCGGUUGGGUGAUUUAUGGGACCCCCUUGACAGUUCGCUUUGAAUAAAACUCCUCUAGCAAGGCCCAACCUUGGUUUUACCAUUUUCCACCUAAGCCUUUUUCCCUUGGGUUCUGCAGACUCAAGGGUCAUCUUUAUUUUAACCCCCCCCCCCCCGGGGCCAGUGCUCCGUCGAGUGUUGGUCCGAAAUGAGCAGCUUGCGGGGCCACCUCGGGGCAACUUGAGGGCUGGUUUUACUCGUAGCUUGACUUAUCCGGUGUGCCCUGAGAACGAGGUAUGUGCGACUCCUAUCGGGAUUUGUCGGCGCAUCGGGCGGCUUUGCUGGUCUUGUUUUACCAUUGUCGAAAUGUCUUGCGAACCGGGAUUCCAAGGCUGAUCGGGUCUUCCCGGGAGAAGGUAUAUCCUUCGUUGACCAUGAGAGCUUGUGAUGGGCUAAGUUGGGACACCCCUGCAGGGUAUAUUAUCUUUCUAAAGCCGUGCCCGCGGUUAUGGGUAGAUGGGAAUUUGUUAAUGUCCGGUUGUAGAUAACUUGACACUUGACCUCAUUAAAACGCAUCAACCGCGUGUGUAGCCGUGAUGGUCUCUUCUCGCGGUGUCCGGGAAGUGAACACGGUUUUGGGUUAUGUUUGACGUAAGUAGGAGUUCCGGAUCACUUCUUGAUCAUUGCUAGCUUCAUGACCGUUCCAUUUGCUCUCUUCUCGCUCUUAUUUGCGUAUGUCAGCCAUCAUAUAUGCUUAGUCGCUGCUGCAACCUCACCACUUUACCCCUUCCUUUCCCAUAAGCUUAAAUAGUCUUGAUCUCGCGGGUUUUGAGAUUGCUGAGUCCUCGUGACUCAUCAGAUACUAUCACAACAGUUGCAGGUGCCGAUGAUACCAGUGCAGGUGAUGCAACCGAGCUCAGAUGGGAGCUCAACGAAGACCUUGGUCGUUGCUAUGUAUCGUUUAAUGUUGAUCAGUAGUGGAGCCCAGUUGGGACGAUCGGGGAUCUAGCAGUUGGGUUAUCUUCUUUUCUUUUGGCUUCAUCCGUAGUCGGACUAUGUGUGUACUCUGAAUGAUGUAUGAUUUAUUUAUGUUCAUUGUGUGAAGUGGUGAUUGUAAGCCAACUCUUUAUCCCAUUCUUGUUCAUUACAUGGGAUUGUGUGAAGAUGACCCUUCUUGCGACAAAACCACAAUGCGGUUAUGCCUCUAAGUCAUUCUUCGACACGUGGGAGAUAUAGCCGCAUCGUGGGUGUUACAAGCCUCCUCCUCGAGACCUCGACUCUCCUCGUGCGAGCACAGCGCCGGCUUGCGCUUGGGCCAAGGACCCCGACGGCCACCCCGUCAGCCCCGCCGCCGGCGACCGCAAGCCACCGGAGCACCAGGAGCCCUCCAGCCUCUUGCUCCAGCACGCCUCCUACCCCGAGCUCCUCCCAUGGUGCCCUCGUUCACGAGCACGUCGACCCCGCCGCCUCGAACUCCUGUGCUGAAGCACCACCUCGCGCGCCUCCUUCCUCGAGCAGGAGCUCGACCUGCUGCCGGCGACCUCGCCCUGUGAUGACCUAGACUACCAGCCCGCCCCUCUGCUCCCCUCCGCCCUUCCCUUUUUCCUCUCCUUCUCCCUCGUCUCACUAUCUCCCUCUCUCACCUUCAUAGGAGGCAGACGCCAUGGAUGCCCAUGCUCUGCCCUGAGUCAACCCUCGCCGUCAUUUUGCGCCAGAUCCGGCCCGGAGCCGCCGAAUCUCGCCGUCUCCUCCCUCCGUCCUUCACCUCUGCGCCAGAGAUCCCCGUCCCCGCAACUCCGGUCGUCCCCUGCCGCGGCCUCUGCCUUGUCUGCAUCGAGCGAGCGAGGGGAGCGCUCGCGUUGACCGUGCCUCUAGGCCUAGUGCGCCCUUUGGCGGCCUGCCUUGGCCUCCUCACCGACUGGCCCAGCCCAUGGUGAGCAACCGGCAGCUCCCCCCAGCCAAGUUUGCCUCAGAUCUAGCCCGUGAUGUUUUUUUCCCUGCGAGGACAAUUUUUUUAAUUUCCAGAAAACUGUUGUUUUUCAGAAAAACCCUCAACGUCAUGCAUAUAAUAACUUCAUAACCGUGCAUCGGAUUAAAAAUUUUUAUACAUGUAAAAUGCUUAGAAUUUUGUGUAGAUUAAUAAUAUACCACUUUUAUCCAUGUUUAAAAUGUUUAAAUUGUUGUUUGAUUAAUUUUUCUUAAAUGCCAUGUUAAAAUGCUUUAUUUCAUAACUAAUUAACCGUAGCUCGGUUUUAAAUAAACUUUAUAUGUAAAUGGGGUGGAAAAAUGCCUAGAUUAACAUGGUGCACUUUGUUUUACUCUUUAACAACUCUAAAAUCAUGUAAUAGGCAGAACAGUACCAAAUUUGAAAUAUGGACAUGAGGAUUUUCCGGAAUUGUUGUUUGUUGUUUCCGACCUCAUUUAAAGUUGCCUAGAUAGGUAGUUUUGUUAUACUUCACCUCUUGCCAUGUUAAUCAACAUUUAAUAUUGUUGGGUACAUAAACAAGAGUGAACUAAAUUAAUGAAUGUAGUCUUUCAUCAAUAUGCAACUCGUUGCAUAUUGAGCUCCACUUAAUUUGUAGUAUUGUUUGUUGCACUUUGCCAUGCCAUGCCUUAUUAAACCGGUCAUGCAUCAUACUUGAUUGUGCAUCAUGCCAUGUUUAUGUGAUGGUUGUUUACCAUGUUGUUUGCUUCUUUCCGGUUUGCUUCUCUCGUUAGCUUCGGUUUCGUUCCGGAGUUGUGAGGAUCCGUUCGACUACUUCCGCUUGUCUUCUUCGUGGACUCGUUCUUCUUCCUAGCGGGAUUUCAGGCAAGAUGACCGCUACCUUGGAUCUCACUACUAUCAUUGCUAUGCUAGUUGCUUCGUUCUAUUGCUAUGCUAUGCUACCUAUCACUUGUUGAUCAAGCCUCCCAUAUUGUCAUGUCAGCCUCUAACCUUUUUCACCCUUCUUAGCAAACCGUUGUUUGGCUAUGUUACCGUUUUGCUCAGCCCCUCUUAUAGCGUUGUUAGUUGCAGGUGAAGUUGAAGAUUGCCCCAUGAUGGACAAGAUUAUGUUGGGAUAUCACAAUAUCUCUUAUAUUAUUAAUGCAUCUAUAUAUUUGGUAAAGGGUGGAAGACUCGGCCUUAUGCCUGGUGUUUUGUUCCACUCUUUCCGCCCUAGUUUCCGUCAUACCGGUGUUAUGUUCCCGGAUUUUGCGUUCCUUACGCGGUUGGGUGAUUUAUGGGACCCCCUUGACAGUUCGCUUUGAAUAAAACUCUUCUAGCACGGCCCAACCUUGGUUUUACCAUUUGCCUCACCUAGCCCUUUUUCCCUUGGGUUUCCGGAGCCCGAGGGUCAUCUUUAUUUUAACCCCCCUGGGCCAGUGCUCCUUCGAGUGUUGGUCCAAACUAGAGCCACUUGCAUCGCCACCUCGGGGCAACUUGAGGGCUGGUUUUAGUUGUACGUAGUGUUCAUCCGGUGUGCCCUGAGAACGAGAUAUGUGCAGCUCCUAUCGGGAUUUGUCGGCACAUCGGGCGGCUUUGCUGGUCUUGUUUUACCAUUGUCGAAAUGUCUUGUAAACCGGGAUUCCGAGUCUGAUCGGGUCUUCCUGGGAGAAGGUAUAUCCUUCGUUGAUCGCGAGAGCUGAUCAUGGGCUAAGUUGGGACACCCCUACAGGGUUUAAACUUUCGAAAGCCGUGCCCGCGGUUAUCGGAAGAUGGGAAUUUGUUAAUGUCCGGUUGUAGAUAACUUGACACCAGAUCUGAAUUAAAACGCAUCAACCACGUGUGUAGCCGUGAUGGUCUCUUUUUGGCGGAGUCCGGAAAGUGAACACGGUUUUGGGUUAUGUUUGACGUAAGUAGGAGUUCAGGAUCACUUCUUGAUCAUUGCUAGCUUCACGACUGUCCCGCUUGCUCUCUUCUCGCUCUUAUUUGCCUAUGUUAGCCACCAUAUAUGCUUAGUCGCUGCUGCAACCUCACCACUUUACCCCUUCCUUUCCCAUUAAGCUUUGCUAGUCUUGAUACCCAUGGUAAUGGGAUUGCUGAGUCCUCGUGGCUCACAGAUUACUACAAAUAUAGUUGCAGGUACAGGUUAUGCGAUGAUCAUGACGCGAGAGCGAUGUUUACUUGUUUUGGAGUUCUUCUUCGGCUUCUUCUUUGAUCAGGGGAUAGGUUCCAGGUCGGCAGCCUAGGCUAGCAGGGUGGAUGUCGUUUGAGUUUCUGUUCGUGUCUCAUCCGUAGUCGGAUGGUGCUCUUAUGUAAGAUGAUGUUGUAUUUGUGUGGCAUUGUAUGCCUCUUGUAGGUAUCCCCAUCUAUUAUGUAAUGUUGAUGUAAUGAUAUCCACCUUGCAAAAGCGUUUCAAUAUGCGGGUCAAUCCUUGGUGGGACCUUUGAGUUCCUUUUGGAUAGGGUCGCAUAUUGGGCGUGACAUCAAGCAAUCUCAACACAAUUCAAGCAAGCAUGCAAAGAGUAUAUGAGCAGCGGAAAGUAAAGC